RNAcentral lists this long non-coding RNA (340 nucleotides) under Elaeis guineensis (African oil palm). Its description in RNAcentral is "long non-coding RNA (EGUI_LNC077814)". The record is from RNAcentral. Lineage: Eukaryota; Viridiplantae; Streptophyta; Magnoliopsida; Arecales; Arecaceae.
UAAAAUUUGGUGAGCUCACGACACUUGUAGCUCACCUUCUCACUUCCCGAACUCCAGGCUGAAACCCUGAAGAACUCACUGAAACCCUGCGCACAUUUUUUCUUUCUUUUCUUUCUUUUUCUUUCGGAAGGAUAUAGACCUUCACCUUGCACACAAGGAUUCCUCAUGCCUAGAUUUUCUCUCCAAAAUUUUUCUUGCACAUGGCCCACUCUUCGCCUCCUUUUAAAACAAUGUCAAACGUCUUAUCCACGUGAGAGGAUAAAGAUGAGUAAUUGCACAUUUGAAUUCAAAUCAAAUUUUGAAUUCAAAUGGAAAUCAAUUUAUUCCUAUCCACUAAGGG